UCUCUCACUCUAUCUCUCUCUCUCUCUCUCUCUCUCUCUCGGCUUUGAUGAUGCUAAGAUGGUAGAAUAAGAUGACAUGCGAUUUUGAUGAACUCCAGCUAUUAAACUGUCUUUCAAGGAGGUCAAUGGGCAAGUACUUCAGCUUGAGGUCCGCGGUGGUGAUGGUUGUGUUAACGAUGUCUCUUGUGGUGUUGCCGGUGGUGUUGCCGCCGCUUCCUCCACCUCCGGUGAUGCUUCUCCUUGUUCCGAUCAUGAUCCUGGGGGUGUUGAUACUUUUGGCGUUUUCUCCUUCGCAUGAACCCAAUGUUGUGCUCAAUUCUGUGUAAACUUUAAGUACCAUAUAUUAUGAGCAUAGAUUUAAUUCAUUUUCCUGGUCUACGACCUUGAUGUAUAUUUUCCAUAUCUUUGGAUCCAACUCCAAGUUUCGUAGUUACCCAAAAAUGUUAUUUCGAACAUUACGGAGUAAGCAAAGUGUGUAGGGUAGAUUGUAGGAUUAAAAUGGGUGUAACGUGCGCUACAUUGAAGAUGGAUGUGAUUCAUUUUGGGGGGAUAAAAUUCAUUGAUCUCUCUUGAAUUUUUUGAUAAAUACACACAUUUUUCAUGUAAUUUUAAAAAUAAUAGUGACAUUUAUUACUUUUAAAACUAUUGUCAAAAUUUCUG
Molecule: long non-coding RNA, 660 nt
Filed under: Actinidia chinensis (golden kiwifruit)
Lineage: Eukaryota; Viridiplantae; Streptophyta; Magnoliopsida; Ericales; Actinidiaceae
Description: long non-coding RNA (ACHI_LNC005225)
Source: RNAcentral